This 440-nucleotide ribosomal RNA is filed under the name uncultured bacterium. RNAcentral describes it as "partial 16S ribosomal RNA". It matches the Rfam family "Bacterial small subunit ribosomal RNA", at positions 338 to 795 of the family's 1533-position model. The record is from RNAcentral.
CCUACGGGCGGCAGCAGUGGGGAAUAUUGCACAAUGGGGGAAACCCUGAUGCAGCAACGCCGCGUGAGUGAAGAAGUCUUUCGGUAUGUAAAGUUCUAUCAGCAGGGAAGAAAAUGACGGUACCUGACUAAGAAGCCCCGGCUAACUACGUGCCAGCAGCCGCGGUAAUACGUAGGGGGCAAGCGUUAUCCGGAUUUACUGGGUGUAAAGGGGGCGCAGACGGCGAGGCAAGCCAGAAGUGAAAGGCCAGGGCUCAACACCGGGACUGCUUUGGAAACUGUGUAGCUAGAGUGCAGGAGAGGUAAGUGGAAUUCCUGGUGUAGCGGUGAAAUGCGUAGAUAUUAGGAGGAACACCAGUGGCGAAGGCGGCUUACUGGACUGUAACUGACGUUGAGGCCCGAAGGCGUGGGGAGCAAACAGGAUUAGAUACCCGGGUAGUC